Molecule: RNA transcript, 2052 nt
Organism: Brachypodium distachyon (stiff brome)
Lineage: Eukaryota; Viridiplantae; Streptophyta; Magnoliopsida; Poales; Poaceae
Exons: 2
Source: RefSeq, a predicted model, not a curated record
AAGCCUCGUCAAGAAAACCAUACUCUAACCCCACGGUCGCUCCCGCACAAAACCAAAACCAACGCCCCCUCACAACAAAAACAAUCCCUACGAAAUCUUUCCUCCUCAUCCAAUCCUCCGUCCCAGCGAUUGUCCCGCAGCUACAGCUACCAUGUCGUCCACCACUGCCCCUCCUCGCCUCUGUCGCACGCACCCCAUCCCGGUCAGGGGCUGCGAGAUCCAAACUGUGGCACAGUCCGGAGGACGACGAGGUCUGGGCGCAGCGGGAUGCGGCGGAUCUAAAGGGGUGGCGGGGUCUGAACGGGGCUAUGCGGCUCCUGGCGGCGGUCCCUAGCGCAUCUUUGCCAUUGGAUCACUACGCCCUGUUUGCCGCCCGCAGGUCACCGGCAACCAUGAGUUCUCCAUCGUCAGUCAUUGACUCCGCUGCUUCGUCUUCCACCAUCCUCCGCCCGCCGCACUGCCCUGACGGCCCAUUCUCCGGCCAAUGCGCCGCGCCGACGUCCACCCGCUUCUCCGUCCAAAGGCCGGACAGCUGCGCCGCGACUCCCCAGUGCUCGGGUCUGACUCUGAGGAAGCUGCAUCACCCCGACCCCCCGACCUGCACGGACCAUCUACCCCUUCCGUCGAACAGGCAACUCCUCCGACACCCUCCACAUCCUCUUAUUCUUACCGGGUCUUUUGUAGCUAUGGCAAGAAAAGUUCUAAUUACCAAGAAUUUAAUGUUGUAUGGUGAUUGUAAUUUACAGAGAAUGCAUUAGUACGGCAUAUUAAAAAAAUAUUCUCUAUAUUUCAGGUGGCUAACUGCUUAAAGGUCCUAUCUAUCUUUGAAUUAUACAUACUGACCUUCAAGUUUCUAGCGAAGAUCUACUUUUCAUGGGGUUAAGUUCCAGUUUUCCAAUGAGAUGCAGAUUCUGGUGCCAAAUCCAUGUCAAUGGCGUAGCUAAUGCUGUACUGAAAGCUGAGGUAUCACUAAAGAUCUUCUUGGAGAACAUUUUUUCGGUUGAGUUCACAUGUGAAGUUUAUGCAUUGGUUCGUGAAUUUGUUUUCUGUUUCCGUGUGCUAAACUCAAAACAUCCCCAUUUUGAAUGCCGCACAACCAUGUGUGCUUGAAAGUUUUUUAUUUGGCCACCAUCACUGUUGGUUUCUUUAUUCUGCAUUGAGUAGUUUCUUCAGGCAAGACAUGGCUGUAUAAUAGACUUAAAAAAAAGGACAUGUGUGUUUCAAACAGGAUGCCCUCUCCUUCAUUCAUGUCUGCAUUUUCUCAUGGUUUUUUUGUCCAAAUUCAUAUGUUUCAGCUGUGCAUUUAUGUUUCACAAUGGAAGAAACAGGUGCUACAGAUUAGCUUGAUUCCUUUGGUUGUUCAGAGAAUACUGCACAGAUGUACAACCUCCUUUUAUACUUCUAUUCUGUAAUAGGCUACCAUAGAUGGGAAACACAUGCAAUGGGAUUUGGUGCUCUUAUGUGCAGUUGCAAAGAGACUGUCAAAUGUUGUGAGCUUCUAUUUCAGGAUGAAAAUAAAAUAAAAAGACCCUCUUCGAGGAAAGCAAGGAUGCAAAAAGAAAAGGAGGAACACCUUUAGUUUGCAGUUCUAUCUGGUGUAAUGUGAGAAGGUGAGUUAUCAUAUCAAAAUAUUCCUACAUAGUUAUAACAAAUAGUAUGAAGCAACAUCAGUAGAUCUGAAUAUCACAACAACCUUACUUUUAGAAACCUUCUCAAGAGUGCAGGGAGUUCCCAUGAUUAACUAUUUCACUUAAAAGAAAAAAAAAUGUGACGUUAAAAGAAAAAAAUGACCUUGUUUACAAGGAAACCAUACAGAGCACGGCUUAUUCAAGAAAAUCCAUAACGAACCCUCGCAACGAGCAAGCAACCUAACCCUGAGGAACAACCAUUUUUCUGCUAACCGAUAAAUUUCGUUACCAAUUAUAUUAUAUAAUGCAAUGCAGAUAUAAAUACAUAUUCUUUGUGUAUAGUAGUUUUGAUCUUUGAAGAAAAUAGGCACAAAAAGGCGACCGGCCAGGAAGCAAUCCAUGUAUUAAGUAGACAACGUGGAGU